RNAcentral lists this non-coding RNA (27 nucleotides) under Homo sapiens (human). The record is from RNAcentral. Lineage: Eukaryota; Metazoa; Chordata; Mammalia; Primates; Hominidae.
AGGCAGUUUACUGUAAUUGACGGUCCU